This 67-nucleotide transfer RNA is filed under the name Conepatus leuconotus (eastern hog-nosed skunk). RNAcentral's name for it is "tRNA-Trp". Lineage: Eukaryota; Metazoa; Chordata; Mammalia; Carnivora; Mephitidae. The record is from RNAcentral.
AGAAGUUUAGGUUAAAUAGACCAAGAGCCUUCAAAGCCCUAAGCAAGUGAACCACACUUAACUUCUG